Salarias fasciatus (jewelled blenny) is the source of this 637-nucleotide long non-coding RNA. RefSeq lists it as uncharacterized. The transcript has 2 exons. The record is from RefSeq and is a predicted model, not a curated record. NCBI's taxonomy places the organism in Eukaryota, Metazoa, Chordata, Actinopteri, Blenniiformes, Blenniidae.
UUCACACAGAAUAAAAACCGUUUCCAACGGUGACUUGAGCUGUGGAAACGCGAAUCACCCUGCAGCGGUUGGGGGGAGGGGGGGACACCGGGGACACCUGGGAGUACAUCAUGUGGAAGAGCCGGCUUUAUUGUUGGAAGAACGCAGAAUUCCGCGAGAGGGCGACCGAAGUUACGCACUAUUGCUUUAAGAUUGAAGAUAGAAUUGAAGCUCACUGAAGAUGAAGAUUUCUCCUUUCACACCUACCUGCUUUUUGCUCUCCCUAUCAGAAGAAUGAGCGCGUCUGUGCCAGCAGUGAGGUUGCCGGUUUCUCCAACAGCAAUGACUGCUAGAAAAAUGAGAGAUGCUGUCACAAUGGAUGUGUACAUGUUUGCAGUCAGUGAUUCGAGGAAAGAUGGAAACCAAAUCACAUUUCUGAAAAACCUCUGACAAGAUGAUUUCAGAAGAGUGUUUGUUGCUGGAGAAAUCUAGUUAAUUGAAAGACACUUAAUAAAGAGUUCUGGGUGCCUGGCUUAAUGAAAGCAUUAUGCUAUGCACUGUUCUGUAAUGAAUUGAUAAAUGAGUUGAUUUUGGUGAUUAAACUUGUUUGAAUCCUGUACAUCCAAUUGCACAGAGAUUAGGGGCCACAGUAUUUAAA